UCAAACCAUGAUUGUGGUAGACAUGUGCCUGUCCAGAUCUGAUUGGAGGUUAGAGAUCGAUGGUUUUAUGGGGGUGUUUUCUGAUCUUGGUGACCGUGUGGUGCCAGAUUGGAUUAGGCUAGGAGAUCUUGGUUGAUUUCAUCAAGUGAUGAGGGGAAGUCUAGUGCGUUUUGGAUCGGCAGUAAGGCUGAAGUUGGAGUUGUAGCGGAUCCGACGGUGGUUCAUGGAAAGAGACCAAUUUCCCUCAACACAAUGGUUUCACUUCCAAUUCAAUGACCCCAUCUGAGGACAACAGCAUAGUAUGGAGCACGGCAGAGAACUAGAGAUACUAGAGACCAGCUCGAGGGACUCUUGGAAAGGGUCGAGAUUGAGCAGGUCUCAAAUCUUGAUUUUGAAGUAAUAAAAAAGGCCAUUGCAUCUGGCUUCAUUCAUCUGUGGCAAGCUCUAACUAGGCAAAAAUCUAAAGUUCUAUAAAGGAAGUUGAAGCACUAUUGGAACAAGUACUUGUAAAUUACUAUGGUUUUCCAUGUUUUAAAAUUCUAUGGAAUUAAUUCUACCUGAUAUAGAGGGGUUCUACUCCAUUGGGUUGCUUGGAGUUGAGUAGU
Molecule: long non-coding RNA, 605 nt
Organism: Rosa chinensis
Lineage: Eukaryota; Viridiplantae; Streptophyta; Magnoliopsida; Rosales; Rosaceae
Exons: 3
Source: RefSeq, a predicted model, not a curated record